GACGAACGCUGGCGGCGUGCCUAAUACAUGCAAGUCGAACGGUUUAGUUCCAAGAGGCUUGCCUUUUGGAACUAGACAGUGGCGGACGGGUGAGUAACACGUAGGCAACCUACCUGUCAAACCGGGAUAACCUCGGGAAACCGAAGCUAAACCCGGAUAAGCUCCUUUUUCGCCUGAAGGGGGAGUGAAAAGGUGCGACCUGAUGACAGAUGGGCCUGCGGCGCAUUAGCUAGUAGGUAGGGUAACGGCCUACCUAGGCGAUGAUGCGUAGCCGACCUGAGAGGGCGUACGGCCAAACUGGGACUGAGAUACGGCCCAGACUCCUACGGGAGGCAGCAGUAGGGAAUCUUCGGCAAUGGGCGAAAGCCUGACCGAGCAACGCCGCGUGAGUGAGGAAGGCCUUCGGGUUGUAAAACUCUGUUGUUUGGGAAGAAGGGAAAGGGUAGGACCCUUAGGUGACGGUACCAAACGAGAAAGCCCCGGCUAACUACGUG
This 494-nucleotide ribosomal RNA is filed under the name uncultured bacterium. RNAcentral's name for it is "partial 16S ribosomal RNA". It matches the Rfam family "Bacterial small subunit ribosomal RNA", at positions 28 to 507 of the family's 1533-position model. The record is from RNAcentral.